CUCCAGCUGGCUUUCCAGGGGAGGACAUCGGGGUUCUGAAGGCCUGAAGCUCACCCAGUUCGGGGCCCUCUUUACAAACAAAGAGCUCGGGAUGGCAGGUACAGGGUGCGUAGGAGGGGCUCAUUCAGAAGGGAACCCUGUGCGGAAUCACAAGAGCUGGUGACCGUCCCACAGACAGCACUGCCAGCGCAGGGGAGGGGCAGCUCCAGGCCCCGGGAGGCUCUCCCUGACGCUGCUGACCUGCUCAGUUCCCUGCUCUGUCACAGAUCACCCAGAACCUCUGCUUCACGUCACCACUGGCGUCACACCGCUGGUGACCCGUCACUCCUGUGAGCUGGAGUCAGGGUCCGAGGCGGCCCACUCUACAUGGGCAGCCUGCUUGGGCGCUUCCAGGUGGGGCUCCUCAGCCGGGCCACCCUGAGGGUGGUCCUGGGUCUAGCCUUGUAGUGAUGUCAGAGUAACUGGGAAUUUUGAACACCACCGCAGCUGCCCAAGCCCUGCCAACCUGGGGUGACGUCCCUGUCUGAACCUCCCUCCCGGUUGCUUGGAAGCACAGGAGUCCUGAGGGCCAGGUCAGCACUUUGCAGGAGCAGAGAGGAGGUUCCAAGGCUCCAAGGGCGAGGGGCCAGGCCAGAGGGCGGUGAUGUUCUGGCUAACCUCACCCUGCGUCCCACCUUCCACAUGACUCCUAUUUCCCAGGGCAGUGUCCCAAGCAUGCGGUGGGUGGGAGAAGCGGAGGCCUGGAGGGAGCACAGUCACCCGCGCAGAGGCUCAGGAGUGUCUCAGGGGACUGCACCGCAAGCGACUUCUGUCAAUAUUAGCAGCAGAGAGAAAGGUGGAUGUCAGAGUUUCUGAACGUGCUCUGCCACCUGUUGCCUAGUGGACUGAGUUUCUAAAGCCACCGUAAAGUGCCACCAUCAGUGACCUGGAACAGCAGAGGCUGUCCUCCCACUGACUGGAGGUUGAAGUCCAAGAUCAAGAUGUCAGCAAGAAACCAAUUCACUCACCUCCGGAGCUGAAUGUCUGCGUCCUUCCCCAAGGAGGUGGUGUGAGCCAGGGGACCCUGGAAGCCACUAGGUCAGGAGGGUGGAGCCCUGAUGGAUGGAUUAGCACCUGGGGAAGGGACCCCCGAGACUGACCAAGUUAUGUUAAGUGCGUGUGUGAAUACGCCGCAACGUACCCUCGCCAUGCACCAACUGAGAGAGAGGAGAGCCCGUCCCUGUCAUGGUGUGAAAACGUGGCGGGAAGGAGCACCCACAAGCCAGCCAAGGGCCUCGGACACCCCAUCUGUCAGCCUCGUGAUCCGGGCCCUGCAGCCUCCACAGCUGUGACGAGUGAAUUCUGUCCUUCACGAGCAGGGGCAGGGCCUGGAGGAAGUCCUGAAUGGGUCACCCUGCGGUCACCACUCCCUCAGGGUUGGUUCUUGACUCCACCAUGGAAAAGUCAGGCCAAACACACCCUGGGUCUUCUCUCCAUGAAAGAAAAGAUGGUCACACGACAGGGACUGGCCUUCCUAAGCAGAAGAGAAAGGGGACGCUUCCAGGUGGGGCAAGAUGGAAAGAAGCCCAAGAGGCCUGUUCAGGGACCCAGUGGCCUCUGACUUCGGAAUGGCCAGGGCUGGGCCAAGAGGAGCACGCAGAGGAGUCUUGGCGUGUGGGAGGGUGCCAACGGACAGGUGUUUGGGGCUCAUGAAGCACUAAAGCCCAAAGAACGUGGAAUGUGGGGUACACACUGUGACUCCUGAGUCACGGCCCAGCCAGGGCAGCCAUCACGUGUGUCCUCAGCAGUCCAGUGGCCACCAGCUCUGGAGGUGGCCCUUGCCACUCUAGAAAACCUCACCAUUUAGUCAGAUACAGGGAUAUCCCGCUGCAGGAGACCAAGUCCAUGGCCUGGAAAGGGGCUGGAAACCACCCUGGGUUGUCCCCAUGGGUCCCACCCUCGGCAUCAUCCUCACCCUUGCCCUGCGGAACCACGGGCUGUGCUGGAAGGCGAGCGACUCCAGCCCUGCCUUGCCCGAGUAGAGGCCUGGACUCUGCAGACGCAGACGCACUCCAUGGUGAGACCCUGGGCUCCAACAUCCCCAAAGACGGAGCUCUCUACCAGAGUAAGGAAGGUUGGUUUCCAGGGAGGUUAGGGAUUCUGCAGACAGGCUGCUCUCCUGCAACCGGAAUGUGGAUAACGGAGACCCUUCCGGCCUGACUCUGCGGGCUAAGACCAAGGGUUCAGACGUUCGCUGUUUGAGCUCUCCAGGACCCACAGCCACCUGCAGACUUGGAUGAGCCGCUUGCUCCACAGAAAAAGCAAGGCAGGAGCCCUCUUGAUGGGAGACAGGGGCACAGAAGUGGGGGCCAAGAACGCCUUCCCACAGCACCUGCAGGUCCCCAGAGAGCAGCUUCCUGCAGUGUGCACUCUCUCCUCUGGCACACCCUCCUCCCCUGCCCAGUGAGCUACAGUCAGGAAGAGCUAGAAUCCCUUGCAUCCCGCGUCCUGGCUCUGCCCCUCCCCGGACCUACAGAAGUUCCUGGUUCGCAGGUAGGUGAGCAGAGUCUGCGUGGAGCUGGCUGCCAGCUUGUGCACAGCCCUUAGAGGGUGCCCGGUCCACACAGCAUACCAUCUGGGCUCCAGCCUGCCAGCAGGCCACCCCUGGCACUUGGCUCCACCUUCCUGAGCCCGAGUUUUUGUCUGUUAAUAAAUGGUGGCAACAAACCUGCUAGGACUAUUGUGAAUAGAAAGGGAAAGUGCAAGAAAAGAGCUCAGCACAGGAAGCGAGCAGUGAGCACUUAGUAAGAGCGGCCAGCACCUUACAAGGGAGUGAGCUAGUGUCAGAUCUGAGGGUUCCCAAGGCAGCUGGGCUAUUUGAAAACAAAAACAUUCUUUAUUUUUUAGUUCUGGCGUGUAGAAAGCUUCCCAGGGUACUUUUGGUAAGAAACAACCAGAAAGACUAACAUUUUGUACUUUUGGUGUUUGGUUACAGGACAGGGUGGGGAGAGGUGAGCAGACGCUGUGGACUCUCAGCAGCCCUCAGCGGCCGUCCCCAAAUCAGACAAAGGGAUCUGUGGACUCUCAGCAGCCCUCAGCGGCCGUCCCCAAGUCAGACAAAAGGGAUGGGCCCCACUCCCUGUGCCCCGAGCUGUGUGCAGAGCUCCCCCAGCCCAGGCCUUGCUGGGCACCUGCCUCCUGAUGGGGUGUGUGCCCCUCUCACUGCAGAAGGUUGGCGUGAAGAGUCCCAAGUUCGCACCAACAGGCGAGACCUGCUUGAGGCAUGGCUCUGGGAGCUCAGGGCAUUGUUGAGAAGCACGGAGGCUGGGAGGUUCCAGCAGGGUGUGGCCAGGCUGCCCUGACCCAGACAGGAAGACCCAUGGAACAUGGGAGGGAGUGCACACCAGUCCUUGCUCUGUAGAAGGAAGUCUGUUUAGCAUCGGGCUCCGUGGUGGUGCACACCUGUGAUGCCAGCUUUGCCAGGGCUAAGGCAGGAGGAUCUCAAGUUCAAGGGCACCUCAGCAACUUAGGGAGGCCCUGUCUCCAAAUAAAAGGCAAAAGGACGGGGUGCAGCUCAGUGGUAGAGGGCUUGCUUCAUAGAGUGCAGGAGACCCCGGGCUUACCCCCCAUACAAAAGAAAGAGGAAGAGGAAGGGAGGGAAGGAAAGAAGGAAACUCAGGGAGGGAGGAGGCGAGAUCACGACCACCUGGCGUGAAGCAGUCUCAAGGCCUGUGGCCAGGUCCUCAGGUGCGGGGCCAGUGUCACUCUCAGGGUGGGGGGAGGGCCUCAGUGGGCUGAAGAAGGCCCUGAUGGCACAAGAACACAGCAGGCUCUCUGGGGCGGCCGGCUGUGACGAUGGGGGCGCCGGCUCUGUACCGUCCCUGUGAGCCCCAGCGCACCAGGGGUUUGCCCUUUGGGGUCCUGCAUGCCUGGGCCCUGCCGCUCGGUAUUGUUUUCUCAGCUUUUGAAGUUGGCGACGAGAACAGCCGGAGCUGCACGUCGGUCGUUGGGUCCUUUCCAGAAGGGUCUGACUGGUCACUGGAGGACCGGCUGCAUUUCCCAGGGCCACAGACCAGGAGCCUGCAGACGGCAGGACUUCCUUCCCUCAGUUCUGGGAGCCAGAACCUGAAGUGUGUCUGUGCAGCCACACACCUGCGGGACAGAGGGGGCUCUCUGAGCUCUCUCCCCUCUCCUGGUGCUGCCACGCCCCUGGUGCACCUGGCGUGAAGAGUCCCAAGUUUGCAUCAAAAGGCGAGACCUGCCUCAGGCGUGACUCUGGGAGCGGCACCACGGCCAGUCUUGUCCUCGGAGGUCUCCUGGCCCCUGCCCAGUGCCUAUCUUCAUGGCACUUCACGCUUCUUACAAGACUCCAGCCACUCCAGGGGGGCCCCCCCCCGAAGGCCCCACCUCAGCCUGAUGGCAGUGCAAAGGCCCUGUUUCCCAACAAGCUCGCGCUCAAGGAGGCGGAGGCUGGAAUGUCCUCGCACAUUGUGGGAGGACACAGCCCAACCCACGGCAGUGCAGAUUUCAGGCACGGAGCAUCUGUCAACUGAAGCCCCGGGUGAGGAGCGUCCCACUCUGAACCUCCCUCCACUUUCUCCGGGCCUGUGUCCACUUGAACUAGCCAGGUGGUUUGUUCUGCUUCCUGCCUCACCUCCUCUGAAAGCCCGUCCCUUGAGGCUGGAACUUGGGAAAGGGCUGGUGCUCUGCUUCCUCCCAAGCCUCUCCUGAGUCCAGAGGACUUCCCGUUUUCCGCCCUGAAGGUGAAGUUCACUAGUUACGGGAAGCACCGCCCGGCCCGCCCUAGGCUGGAGGCCUCGCUUGCUUGUCUCUCUCACAUGACCACCUCAGGAACCAGUGUGGCACCAGGAGUGCAGGACGUGGACCUGGCUGGGCCUACCGGCUCCUCCUGGCCCCUGAGCACCGUGAAGAGAAAAGAGGGACUUUGAGCCGGGUGGAGGAGAGGCUGCUGAAGAGAGCCGUGAAUCAGGGGAGACAAGAAGCUUUUAACCACUGGGCUGCAAAGUCGAGCCACAGAGAAGCAGGUCUGAGUCACGCUUUCUGUCAUGGACAGAAUUUACCUCGGUCCGGCCAGUGAAAAUGCUCUUGCAAUACAAAACAAACCAGCCCUGACCGCUUAGUUGAGAACACAGGAACUCGUCUCUUGGUAAGAGAGGAAUUGUCCACCUUGGCGUUAAGGACUUUCUCAGGAUGAUAUUGAGAUCCUAGCGGGCCUGGUGCAGGGUACUAUGUACACAUUGUCAUUUCAAAGCCAAUGUCAAAGUGACACUCCAGAAUCAUUUUUCAAAACUAAGAGAUAUGGGAGAAUUUAACACACAAAGACACUGAAUCCUUAGAAAAAAACACAAGCUGUCGAUGAAUGAAGGCCAGAGAGUGAAGGACACACUUUCCCAGGUUAGUAUAGAGCAAGCAGGGGGAAUCCAUGGGCCGGGUACAUGUGCCUGUCCCCUUCCUAGAGCAGCAGAGGAGGGAAUGGGAGGGAUGCUAGGUGACCUCGCGGGAUCAUUGCACACACUCACUCCCAGAGCAACCGCCGACUCUUCUACGCAAAGUGAUGAUCAAGAGAAAUAGUAAAAUGCUGAGUCCGAGGAAGCUGAGCAGGGGCCCACUGUUGUGAAAUGGUUGACCCAGGGCAGCACACACCCAGAGGGCCCUGCCGCCUGGCCUCCCUCUGCAGGGUCAUCUCAGAAUGGAGUGCCCACUGGGGCUGCACUAGGGUGUCCUCGGGAGGGGAAGCAGGCUGUGGUAUAGGACAGCAACGGGAACGUGACUGAGGACUCAUCAUCCGAGACUCACACCUGCGCAGACCUGGGGGAGGGGUCCGGCACUUCAGGUGGCCUCCUGACACAGGCAACAGGCACGCUUCAGAUGAGCGGAGGCCACUCUGCCGUGAGGACUGGAGUGCAGCACAGGCUGGCCCCAGGUGCGCCAUGUCCACUGGGUCAGUUGACCACCCUAGAGCUUUGAGGAGGAGCAGGGCCCCGGCUGGACUCCACUGUGGCCAGACAGGCCAGGCUCGGUGCCAUUGGAGACCUCCUGCACCUCCAGCUGUGACGUGGGAGAUGGAGUCCCCGGGCCCAGGCAGGCCUGCUGUUGGCUGCAGGGAGUGUGCCAGCCAGGGAGGCUUCAGAGCAACAGAUUUUACUGAAGGCCAUGUGUCCAUGGUGUGCCGGGCCCUGAGAACAGGAGGCCACGAGGCACAACCUCACCCUUGGGAGCUGAACACACAGCCCCAGACCCUGACACCACCAGGGAGGUCACCCAAGGGGCAGAAGGCACAGAAGCAGAGAAGAGCCAGGGAAGGGGGAGGGGAGACGGGCCUUUCCCCUGAGGACCUGCCUCCGGAGCCUGGGCCUGGGGCUGCACUUGCCCUGUCCGCUCUCAGGUCUACCCGGUGUGGCCCUGGCGCCGAGCACUGGGGAGCGUGGCUGUGGGCCUGAGCCUCUGGCUCUUGCCUGGAGCCUGGUGGACGUGUGGUGCUCUGGGCAAGUCCCUGAUCGCUCCUGGACCCUGGUUCCCUCAUACGUAGAGUGAGGGGGCUAGCAGAGAGACUUGUAUGGCCCCUUGGGGGAACAUUAUCCUUAGGACUCAAGACCUCCUGAAGAUUCGUCCACAGUUUUCUAAGACCGCGUGGGCUCAACUCCACACUACCAGGCAGACUCACCCUGGCACAGAUGCCAGUGGCGAACUGGGCUGGAAUUCACCC
This 6706-nucleotide long non-coding RNA is filed under the name Marmota monax (woodchuck). Lineage: Eukaryota; Metazoa; Chordata; Mammalia; Rodentia; Sciuridae. The record is from RNAcentral.